AGGACUAUAGCUCAGUUGGUUAGAGCGCUACCUUGACAUGGUAGAGGUCCCCAGUUCGAAUCUGGGUAGUCCU
RNAcentral lists this transfer RNA (73 nucleotides) under Thalassobium sp. RNAcentral describes it as "tRNA-Val". It matches the Rfam family "tRNA". From Rfam's summary of the family: Transfer RNA (tRNA) molecules are approximately 80 nucleotides in length. Their secondary structure includes four short double-helical elements and three loops (D, anti-codon, and T loops). The record is from RNAcentral. Lineage: Bacteria; Pseudomonadati; Pseudomonadota; Alphaproteobacteria; Rhodobacterales; Paracoccaceae.